AUGGGGUAUUACCUUGCAGAUGGUAUAUACCCACCAUGGGCAACAUUUGUGAAGACCAUACCAUCUCCAGAAGGCAGAAAAAAGAAACAUUUCGCCAAAAGACAAGAGGGAGCCAGAAAGGAUGUGGAGAGAGCCUUUGGAGUUCUGCAAUCCCGCUUUGCUAUUGUUCGGGGACCUGCCAAAGGUUGGAAACACAAAGAAAUUGGUGAUCUAAUGAAAGCUUGCAUCAUAAUGCACAAUAUGAUAGUUGAUGACGAGCGAGAUAGCGGUCCACGAGACUACAACUACGACUCUAUGGGAGUGAAGGUGGUCCCAUCUCGUUCUCAUGCGGAACAACUGAGUGUGUUUAUUCAAAUGAAUCAACGGAUCACAAACAGAGCAUUUCACUCUCUGCUUCAAGAUGAUCUAGUUGAGCACAUAUGGCAGAAGUUUGGAGAUGAAUGA
RNAcentral lists this ribosomal RNA (444 nucleotides) under Triticum aestivum (bread wheat). RNAcentral's name for it is "partial small subunit ribosomal RNA". The record is from RNAcentral. Lineage: Eukaryota; Viridiplantae; Streptophyta; Magnoliopsida; Poales; Poaceae.